UUUCAAAUACUCUCUCUUGUGCUUCAAGUCUUGCGGCUAACUCCUCCCGAUGCCUAUAAAUGACAAAAGACAACAAAGUUGCAUCGCAAUGAGACGAAAACAGCCAAGAUAACAAGGUACAAGGGAAACAAUUUGAAAUAGAGAAGUACAUUAUUAAAUGUCAAGGCAAGCAUGACGAUGGGCUAAUGAAAUAGUAAAGCCAAGAAUAACUUAUGAUGUUUUAAAAUAUGCAUAACAAACAGCUUGAUUACAGGAAGCAUCAGCAAAAGGAUAUCAAGUCAAUAACCCAGGUUAAAAGAUGCACUCCUUAAUUGAAAUUCCACUCACUGCAAUGAGUGCACUAUGCACAGAGAAGCAAGCAAAAAGAAACAACAAGAACAGAAAGGGAAAUAAGAUAAUUACCUGUCAUUCGCAUCUCUUGCCUCACUAUCCUUUUGUUCAAUUCUUUCAUCUAGAACUCGGAUUCGAGCUGAUGAAGUAGAGCUCCCAUACCUCCCGGAUCUAGAUGCAUACCCCAUGCUGGAAAGGAAGGUGCUAUGUGCGCUUUCUUCCUUUAGAACUUCAGCCACAAUUGCUGUAUCGGAUACUGGCUGCCC
This 596-nucleotide long non-coding RNA is filed under the name Triticum aestivum (bread wheat). Its description in RNAcentral is "long non-coding RNA (TAES_LNC021001)". Lineage: Eukaryota; Viridiplantae; Streptophyta; Magnoliopsida; Poales; Poaceae. The record is from RNAcentral.